RNAcentral lists this unclassified non-coding RNA (247 nucleotides) under Hevea brasiliensis (rubber tree). Lineage: Eukaryota; Viridiplantae; Streptophyta; Magnoliopsida; Malpighiales; Euphorbiaceae. The record is from RNAcentral.
UCUAAUUAUUGUGUGCCGAGUGGGCCGUCGGCUCCCUUGGAUUAUUCAUCGACGAAUGCGAUGAUUAGCUGUGGGAGCCAGCUCACCUGCACUGUGGGUGGUUUAAAUCAGGGUCAGGAAGAAGAGAGUAACUAUGAGAAGGAGAAAGUUACGGGUAGGGAUAAUCACUAUAACUGUGACUUUCCUACCUUUCUCUCGAUCAAUUGCUUCAAUACUCACCGCGAUAAUCACUAUAACUGUGACUUUC